This 278-nucleotide long non-coding RNA is filed under the name Ictidomys tridecemlineatus (thirteen-lined ground squirrel). Its description in RNAcentral is "lncRNA (ENSSTOG00000032578.1)". The record is from RNAcentral. Lineage: Eukaryota; Metazoa; Chordata; Mammalia; Rodentia; Sciuridae.
AAUAGAAAAUAAAUAAUUUGUUUCAUUUUUUUAAAGGAGGGACUGAAGAGACAUUGAAUUGGACUGUGAGCCUUUCACUAGCUUCUCAUCAGAACAGGAACAUGAAGAGGUGGAGUAAUGAUGGAAACCAGCAAUCCAAACCAUCACAAUAUGUGAGAUCCUGACCACAAACUGGAGGUGAAAUCUGUAAUGUUUCUGACCAUUUUUGCAGCAAAACUUCCAAAAAGAUGGUAAGUUACAAAAUACUGUAUAAAACAGAAAACUAGAGUGAAUUUCAG